This 1194-nucleotide long non-coding RNA is filed under the name Marmota monax (woodchuck). The record is from RNAcentral. Lineage: Eukaryota; Metazoa; Chordata; Mammalia; Rodentia; Sciuridae.
GUUUACAAAGCGCCUUGAUUAUCUCAUUUGAGUCCUCAGAAGAACUCAGGUUUUAUUCCCAUUUUUCAGUUGAGAAGUCAAGCUCAUAGUAGUAAAUUAAUUGCCUCAAAUUAUGUAGCUAAUAAGUGCCAGAGCUUGGCACUUCAGUUAACUCCUUCGAUCUUAAAAUUGAUUGUGAAAGCCACUUCAUUCUUAAGGUUUGCAAAAGCAAUACUUGCUUUGGGAAUAGACUUCUUUUAUGUUCUUGCUUUAUCCAUUGCCAGCUUUCAGCACAACAUCUAAAAUACACUCAUUAUAGUCGACAUGGGCUCCUUGCAAAAAAAAAAGAAAAAGAACAACAACAGCAAAAAAACUUGGAGCCUGAGACUUUACAAACUGGGUGUAGAAAUGCUGCCACCUUUGUUUGGCUGCCAAGACACUACCACAAAGGAUCGUAGAUCCAGGUUCAUUUAUUUCACAAGAGUGGGUGCAGCUGUCUUCUGGCCAUAAUCAAAUGUUCUUCUGCAGCCAGCUUUUUGUGGCCAGAAAAAGCAAAGUAAUUUUUAGUACAGAUUAGCAUAAAAAUAUCUACUAGAUCAGUUUCAGGAAACAAUUACUAACUUAGAAACAACAAUAAGUGUGAUCUAUAGGUUGGUGAAAAUGGCAGUAAAUUUCCAGACCUUUUUAAAUGCCCCUUAUUUCUCGCCAUGAAUACUAUAUAAAUAUAAUACACUACCUGCCACUGUAUUUGGUCCCAUAAAUUAUUUGGACAGUGGACAAUAGACUUCAAAACUAAGUAGAGGUAGUAAAUCUGCCUCCUUUUAAUGAGUUUAAAUUUACAGUAGUAGUUUAAACAUCUGGAAGUUUAAUGUCUUAAUUCAUUCCAAAUGUUCGACAAGGAUAUACUGCAAAAGAGGAUAUUGUAAUUGGGGAUCAAGAAAACUACUGUAGACUCAAUCUAAGACCUUUCUACUUUUCUCUGUAUACAUUAAUCACAUAAAACUUGAGAGGCUGACAGUUCAGAGAGGAGAUGAACCAAAAUAUCCAAGUUGGCAUGCUUAUAUGAAUAACUUUUUAGAGUAUCGUUACAAGAAAGGUGAAGUUUAAAUUGUUAAUUAGCACAAGUAGAAUGUAACUAGAUGGUGCUGCCUUUUUUUUUUUUGUAAUCUAUGCUUAUAAGGAGGAGGUUUUAGAAAUUUAUUAUUAAAACUGGAC